RNAcentral lists this transfer RNA (73 nucleotides) under Bos taurus (domestic cattle). It matches the Rfam family "tRNA". From Rfam's summary of the family: Transfer RNA (tRNA) molecules are approximately 80 nucleotides in length. Their secondary structure includes four short double-helical elements and three loops (D, anti-codon, and T loops). RNAcentral also lists the same sequence under 3 other names. Lineage: Eukaryota; Metazoa; Chordata; Mammalia; Artiodactyla; Bovidae. The record is from Rfam by way of RNAcentral.
UCCCUGGUGGCUCAGACGGUAGAAGCAUCUGCUUGCAAUGUGGGAGGCCCAGGUUCGAUCCCUGGGUUGGGAA